Molecule: ribosomal RNA, 223 nt
Filed under: uncultured bacterium
Lineage: Bacteria
Description: partial 16S ribosomal RNA
Rfam family: Bacterial small subunit ribosomal RNA
Source: RNAcentral
UACGUAGGGCGCAAGCGUUGUCCGGAAUUAUUGGGCGUAAAGAGCUCGUAGGCGGUUUGUCGCGUCUGCUGUGAAAACCUGAGGCUCAACCUCGGGCUUGCAGUGGGUACGGGCAGACUAGAGUGCGGUAGGGGUGACUGGAAUUCCUGGUGUAGCGGUGGAAUGCGCAGAUAUCAGGAGGAACACCGAUGGCGAAGGCAGGUCACUGGGCCGCAACUGACGC